Molecule: ribosomal RNA, 474 nt
Filed under: Staphylococcus aureus
Lineage: Bacteria; Bacillati; Bacillota; Bacilli; Caryophanales; Staphylococcaceae
Description: bacterial SSU rRNA
Rfam family: Bacterial small subunit ribosomal RNA
Source: RNAcentral
GAUGAACGCUGGCGGCGUACCUAAUACAUGCAAGUCGAGCGAACGGACGAGAAGCUUGCUUCUCUGAUGUUAGCGGCGGACGGGUGAGUAACACGUGGAUAACCUACCUAUAAGACUGGGAUAACUUCGGGAAACCGGAGCUAAUACCGGAUAAUAUUUUGAACCGCAUGGUUCAAAAGUGAAAGACGGUCUUGCUGUCACUUAUAGAUGGAUCCGCGCUGCAUUAGCUAGUUGGUAAGGUAACGGCUUACCAAGGCAACGAUGCAUAGCCGACCUGAGAGGGUGAUCGGCCACACUGGAACUGAGACACGGUCCAGACUCCUACGGGAGGCAGCAGUAGGGAAUCUUCCGCAAUGGGCGAAAGCCUGACGGAGCAACGCCGCGUGAGUGAUGAAGGUCUUCGGAUCGUAAAACUCUGUUAUUAGGGAAGAACAUAUGUGUAAGUAACUGUGCACAUCUGACGGUACCUAUCAG